GAUGAACGCUGGCGGCGUGCCUAAUACAUGCGAGUCGAGCGAACAGAUGAGGAGCUUGCUCCUCUGACGUUAGCGGCGGACGGGUGAGUAACACGUGGAUAACCUACCUAUAAGACUGGGAUAACUUCGGGAAACCGGAGCUAAUACCGGAUAAUAUAUUGAACCGCAUGGUUCAAUAGUGAAAGACGGUCUUGCUGUCACUUAUAGAUGGAUCCGCGCCGCAUUAGCUAGUUGGUAAGGUAACGGCUUACCAAGGCAACGAUGCGUAGCCGACCUGAGAGGGUGAUCGGCCACACUGGAACUGAGACACGGUCCAGACUCCUACGGGAGGCAGCAGUAGGGAAUCUUCCGCAAUGGGCGAAAGCCUGACGGAGCAACGCCGCGUGAGUGAUGAAGGUCUUCGGAUCGUAAAACUCUGUUAUUAGGGAAGAACAAAUGUGUAAGUAACUAUGCACGUCUUGACGGUACCUAAUCAGAAAGCCACGGCUAACUACGUG
Molecule: ribosomal RNA, 497 nt
Filed under: uncultured bacterium
Lineage: Bacteria
Description: partial 16S ribosomal RNA
Rfam family: Bacterial small subunit ribosomal RNA
Source: RNAcentral